This 492-nucleotide ribosomal RNA is filed under the name uncultured bacterium. RNAcentral's name for it is "partial 16S ribosomal RNA". It matches the Rfam family "Bacterial small subunit ribosomal RNA", at positions 29 to 507 of the family's 1533-position model. The record is from RNAcentral.
AGUGAACGCUGGCGGUAGGCCUAACACAUGCAAGUCGAACGGCAGCACAGUAAGAGCUUGCUCUUACGGGUGGCGAGUGGCGGACGGGUGAGGAAUACAUCGGAAUCUACUUUUUCGUGGGGGAUAACGUAGGGAAACUUACGCUAAUACCGCAUACGACCUACGGGUGAAAGCAGGGGAUCUUCGGACCUUGCGCGAUUGAAUGAGCCGAUGUCGGAUUAGCUAGUUGGCGGGGUAAAGGCCCACCAAGGCGACGAUCCGUAGCUGGUCUGUGAGGAUGAUCAGCCACACUGGAACUGAGACACGGUCCAGACUCCUACGGGAGGGAGCAGUGGGGAAUAUUGGACAAAGGGCGCAAGCCUGAUCCAGCCAGACCGCGUGGGUGAAGAAGGCCUUCGGGUUGUAAAGCCCUUUUGUUGGGAAAGAAAAGCAGCAGGUUAAUACCCCGCUGUUCUGACGGUACCCAAAGAAUAAGCACCGGCUAACUUCGUG